UCCUCCAACAAGGCCAGAACUCACUAACA
RNAcentral lists this non-coding RNA (29 nucleotides) under Mus musculus (house mouse). Lineage: Eukaryota; Metazoa; Chordata; Mammalia; Rodentia; Muridae. The record is from RNAcentral.